RNAcentral lists this small nucleolar RNA (74 nucleotides) under Leishmania donovani. RNAcentral's name for it is "H/ACA box snoRNA LD36Cs3H-1". Lineage: Eukaryota; Euglenozoa; Kinetoplastea; Trypanosomatida; Trypanosomatidae. The record is from RNAcentral.
CAAAGCACAGCCAUCGGACACAGGGAGGCUGCGCUCGGUGCCUUCCUGUGAUGAAGUCAGGCCGGCGAGAAUGU